GCGGGCGUGGCGAAACCGGUAGACGCAGCCGACUUAAAAUCGGCUUCCCCAGGAGUGCGGGUUCGAGUCCCGCCGUCCGCACCA
This 84-nucleotide transfer RNA is filed under the name Sphingomonas jinjuensis. RNAcentral describes it as "tRNA-Leu". It matches the Rfam family "tRNA". Rfam says of the family: Transfer RNA (tRNA) molecules are approximately 80 nucleotides in length. Their secondary structure includes four short double-helical elements and three loops (D, anti-codon, and T loops). Lineage: Bacteria; Pseudomonadati; Pseudomonadota; Alphaproteobacteria; Sphingomonadales; Sphingomonadaceae. The record is from RNAcentral.